This is a long non-coding RNA of Balaenoptera acutorostrata (minke whale), 3158 nucleotides long. RefSeq lists it as uncharacterized. The record is from RefSeq and is a predicted model, not a curated record. Lineage: Eukaryota; Metazoa; Chordata; Mammalia; Artiodactyla; Balaenopteridae. The transcript has 3 exons.
GGGUGCGGGGAAGAGAGGACAGGAGGGGAAAGACCACGCAGACGCUAAGCGGCUGCCAGGAGGUCAGCCCCGCGCGGGGCUGGGCGGGCCCGGGGCGCGGGGGCUGCAGGCGGAGCCCCGACGCGCCCAGCGCCCGCAGGCGCGGGAGAGCCAACCCCGGCCAGGGCCUUCCCGCAGCUCCUCUGGCUGCCUCGGCCGCAGCCCCCGGGGGCGGCAGGGCACUCGCGCGGCCGGGCCACCACGGCCAUCCCAGUCACCCCAGGCUCCCGCGUGUCCAGGCCGCGCCUCCCCCCCGCCCGCGGACCUGGCGACGUCACUGCGGCUCUGACGCGCGCUAAUGGAGGCACGGGCGGAGGCGGCGUUGCGCAGGCACCCUCCCGGGAGGUCCCGGUCCUUGCGGCCCGCGGCCGCGUUCUUGGCCCUCCUCCAGGGGAACCUCGAUUUUCCAAACUCGGGAAGGCAGGCUGUCCUUCGGCUACUGAUUAGGACGCGAGCGCCUGGUAAAAGAUUUUAACAAUGCCCGGAAAGAAAUAGCCGGACCCAGGAAAGACUAAUAAUAGCCGCCAGCUAGAGUUCUGCUCGUGUGCUCAGCGGUCUUAAGAACAAUAAUAACGACAACCACAAUAGCCACCAUUUAUUGAGCGCUUACUCUGUGCCAGGCACUGUGUUCAGCGCUUUGCAGGCAACAACCCUCGGAGGUAAGGUCACAAGACUGGUAAGUAGCAAUGCUGGGAAUCUACCAGGAGUAUCUGACUUUAAAGUGAUGUUCCCAUCACCCAUCACCCAGAAUGUACAAGGUGAUACAGCUGAACAAAAGAGCCACUAGAAGAGGAGGUAUGUGUCUGUCGUCAUCAUCAUCAUCAACAAAAGCUUCCCCAUUUGAUAAAGGCACUGAGCCUCAGAGACGUUAAGGAACUGCCAAGAUCACAGAGCCAGAAUUCAGCAGAGCCAAAAUUUCAACCAGCUCCACCUGAUAGAAGACUUCAGCCUCCCAAGGAGGAGUUAACGUGUCUCUCUCGGCCCAUGGCUCUGGCAUCAAGAGGGCACUGGUCCUGGCAUUUGAGUCAAGGAAGUAGGAGGCCCACCGGGAAAUGGAUCGCUCACAGAGCUCAUCCAUGACACGGCCUGGGCCUCCAGGCCUGUUCCAGCUUUGUGAUGUUUGCCAGAUGUUGCAGGCUUGAAAAUGGUGGUCCACCAGGAGGUUGCUACUGAUGCCUGGUUGGGGGGGUGACCACAUACACACAGACACGUGUGGACACACCAGCCUGACCCCCACCUUGGCCCAGGAGAGGACAGUGAAGGGAUGUUCAUUUGGCAGGUGAGUGGGAAGGGCUGGGUGGCUCCACUCUCUUCCCCCUCCCGGUUCUGGGGAGAUGCUCUGAUGUUUUCCUGAAGGGCUGGCUAUGGGCCUGGAGGCUUUUACUCUCCGUAAAGUCAAGAAGAAAGGACACUGGGAAACUCCUUCUCCAGAAUCAGUUCAGACUUGACCAGCCUCUCUGAGCCUCCGAGCCAGACGGUGGCUGAUGCCUUUGUGGACUCAUACUGAGUAAGGACAGGCUGCCUCAGAAACCUCAUCUCCAGAUCCCACCGCCUCCUGGAAGUCAACCUCCAAAUGACCCCAAGCCUUGCUCCAGGCUCUGAGUCAUGCAGAAUGGCUCCCUCCUGACAGCCCCAUGCCAUAGCCUGGUGUGGCUGCAGGAGCAUGAGUCUUGGGGCCAUCUGAGUCUCAGUCCAGACUGAUAGGAGCUGUGAGACCUGGGGCAAGUGACCCAACACUUCUGAGCCUCAGUUUCCUCUUCUAUAACAUGGAGGUAAUAACUAUACCCACAGAAGGUCUAGCAAAUGUGAGUGCUCCUGCCUCUUCCCUUUUUUCCUCCUCCUCCUGGACCUCCUUACCUCCACUGACCACUUGAACACCUAGCUGCAGGCCCUCAUUUCCCAGCAUCCUCCCAGCCUCUGAGCUUCUCAGAAGACAGUGGUUUUGCCACCCUUUGCUUGUGGCCUGCUGUGGGCCAGCUCCCCUGAGAGCAAAGGCCUCAGAGCUGGGCGACUGGGGCCGCACCCUCUUUGUAAACACUAGCUGGGCACCAACUGACCUCAGGAGGGAAGUGCUCGGCUGGGACCCUCCUCUUCAGCCCUGCCUGCCACUGUAUGUUCCAGGGGAAGCGCCAGGCCAAUCUGGCACCCUUGUACCCAGGCCGCCUCUGUCCUGGAAAUAGGCAUUUGGAGCCAAACCCUUGGUUGAAGGUGGAAGGAAGUUAACAGGCCUUGAGUGCUUCCCUCCUGCCCUCCCUCAGCCCCACCCUGGCCAUCCCAGGCAGGGCAAGUUGUCUCUAAUUUAAGUGUUUUUAAUGAUCAUGAUAGACAUACAUAAAGAGGACUUUACUAUUCCUCUUUGUUUCUUAAAAAUAAAGACAGGAAUUAAGUAUAACAAAAUAUUAACCAUUUUAACUCUGGGCAGUGAGGAUGUGUGUGAGUUAUUGCUCUUUGUAACAUUCUUUUCUGUAGUGUUUAAAUUUCUCUAAAUAAAUAAGAUUCAUACAGGUUUAUUGGAAAAAAAUUCGAAAAUGCCAAACAGUAUAAAGAGAAAAAUAAGAAUCACCAAAAUCUCUACUUUGGAAUCAGACCAUUAUAUAUUGGCUUAUCUUCUCCUGGUCUUUUUUCUAGCGUGUAUGUAUAUCUUUUUUUUAACUGAGAUAUAACUGGCAUAUAACAUUGUAUUCAUUUUAGGUUCACUUUAUUCUUUUUACCAAAAAAAAAAAAAUACUGUAGAAUUAUACUGUUUAACAACGUUUUUCCCCCAACAAUAUAUUUUGAACAGUUUCCCAUGCCCUUGAAUAUUAGUAUUUACUUAAUAUUAGUACACUUCUUUUCAGUCUUUUUUACCAUCUAAUCAUCAAUAAAGUAUAUUUUUUAGGAUUGGGACCCAUAUGGAUCAUACAUUGGGUCAUUUAUACCUUUUAUUAUUUUUUCUUAUCCUAAAAGUACUACUUCUGUUGUAGAUCAGUACAAAAUACAGAAAAGCAAACAAAAGUACGUGUGAAAUACUUGCAGCUUCACCAUCCUGAAGUAACCUCUGCUGACAUUUCAGUUUUUAACCUUCCUGUCCACUUUUCUACGUACAUAUGUAAAUAUAUGUAAACACACAUUUGAAAAUA